RNAcentral lists this ribosomal RNA (497 nucleotides) under uncultured bacterium. RNAcentral's name for it is "partial 16S ribosomal RNA". It matches the Rfam family "Bacterial small subunit ribosomal RNA", at positions 28 to 507 of the family's 1533-position model. The record is from RNAcentral.
GAUGAACGCUGGCGGCGUGCCUAAUACAUGCAAGUCGAGCGAACAGAUGAGGAGCUUGCUCCUCUGACGUUAGCGGCGGACGGGUGAGUAACACGUGGAUAACCUACCUAUAAGACUGGGAUAACUUCGGGAAACCGGAGCUAAUACCGGAUAAUAUAUCGAACCGCAUGGUUCAAUAGUGAAAGACGGUUUUGCUGUCACUUAUAGAUGGAUCCGCGCCGCAUUAGCUAGUUGGUAAGGUAACGGCUUACCAAGGCAACGAUGCGUAGCCGACCUGAGAGGGUGAUCGGCCACACUGGAACUGAGACACGGUCCAGACUCCUACGGGAGGCAGCAGUAGGGAAUCUUCCGCAAUGGGCGAAAGCUUGACGGAGCAACGCCGCGUGAGUGAUGAAGGUCUUCGGAUCGUAAAACUCUGUUAUUAGGGAAGAACAAAUGUGUAAGUAACUAUGCACGUCUUGACGGUACCUAAUCAGAAAGCCACGGCUAACUACGUG